This 100-nucleotide transfer RNA is filed under the name Hygrophoropsis aurantiaca. Its description in RNAcentral is "tRNA-Glu". It matches the Rfam family "tRNA". From Rfam's summary of the family: Transfer RNA (tRNA) molecules are approximately 80 nucleotides in length. The record is from RNAcentral. Lineage: Eukaryota; Fungi; Basidiomycota; Agaricomycetes; Boletales; Hygrophoropsidaceae.
UCGGGUGUGGUGUAACGGUUAACAUUGCUGUCUUUCAAGUGAGUUGCGAAUUCAAAUUCGCAGUCCACAGCGGCCCCGGGUUCGACUCCCGGCAUCCGAA